Molecule: long non-coding RNA, 415 nt
Filed under: Gossypium raimondii (Peruvian cotton)
Lineage: Eukaryota; Viridiplantae; Streptophyta; Magnoliopsida; Malvales; Malvaceae
Description: long non-coding RNA (GRAI_LNC004431)
Source: RNAcentral
UUCAUGCAGUUUACAGGCUUUAAUGAAAAAGAAAGAGAUAGAAACAGUUAUAACAUGUCUCAAGAAACAUUAUGGGAAAUCAAAGAAAAACAUAGAUUAGAAAAACAAGUCCUUUCCUCUUCUAUACCCUAAGCAUAUCUCCAUGCCAGUAAAAAAAUCUCAAAACAUCAAGGGAAACAAUGACCAAGCUCAAGUCUGAGAAAAAUAAACUUUUCGAAAAGCCUAUACCUGGAAACUCAUCUGAGACGAUGAAAGUAUUGCUGAUUUGCCUCCGUCAUCUCCUGAAUCACCGUCGAGGCUUCUCCAAUCUACCAGACAUCUUGUUUACGAUGAAAUCUAUCCUUGGUGAGCAGGUGAGCUAUUUGAUUCCCCACUCUCUUGAUAUGUUGGAACUUAAUUCUUUUAAAACCCACUG